Molecule: unclassified non-coding RNA, 387 nt
Filed under: soil metagenome
Description: partial contains 5.8S ribosomal RNA, internal transcribed spacer 2, and large subunit ribosomal RNA
Rfam family: 5.8S ribosomal RNA (bases 1-120)
Source: RNAcentral
GAUGAAGAACGUAGCGAAAUGCGAUAAGUAAUGUGAAUUGCAGAAUUCAGUGAAUCAUCGAAUCUUUGAACGCACCUUGCACCCUUUGGUAUUCCGAAGGGUAUGCUCGUUUGAGUGUCAUUGUACUCUCACACUUCUAAUUCCUUUCGGGAUUGGGAGCGGUGGACUUGGGUGUUGCUGCUUUAGUUGUGGCUCACCUCAAAUAAGUUAGUGCAACUCUUGGUUGGACAUAGUACGGCGUGAUAAGUGUCUUCGCCGGCGCCUCUGUAAGGAGGGUGGCCGAUUGGGAGCUCUGUGCUUCAAACCGUCUUCGGACAAUCUUUGACAACUUGACCUCAAAUCGAGUAGGACUACCCGCUGAACUUAAGCAUAUCAAUAAGCGGAGGA